This 497-nucleotide ribosomal RNA is filed under the name uncultured bacterium. Its description in RNAcentral is "partial 16S ribosomal RNA". It matches the Rfam family "Bacterial small subunit ribosomal RNA", at positions 28 to 507 of the family's 1533-position model. The record is from RNAcentral.
GAUGAACGCUGGCGGCGUGCCUAAUACAUGCAAGUAGAACGCUGAAGCUUGGUGCUUGCACCGAGCGGAUGAGUUGCGAACGGGUGAGUAACGCGUAGGUAACCUGCCUCUUAGCGGGGGAUAACUAUUGGAAACGAUAGCUAAUACCGCAUAAAAGUCGAUAUCGCAUGAUAUUGAUUUGAAAGGUGCAAAUGCAUCACUAAGAGAUGGACCUGCGUUGUAUUAGCUAGUUGGUGAGGUAACGGCUCACCAAGGCGACGAUACAUAGCCGACCUGAGAGGGGGAUCGGCCACACUGGGACUGAGACACGGCCCAGACUCCUACGGGAGGCAGCAGUAGGGAAUCUUCGGCAAUGGGGGCAACCCUGACCGAGCAACGCCGCGUGAGUGAAGAAGGUUUUCGGAUCGUAAAGCUCUGUUGUAAGAGAAGAACGAGUGUGAGAGUGGAAAGUUCACACUGUGACGGUAACUUACCAGAAAGGGACGGCUAACUACGUG